AACGUCACCCACCGCGUGGCGGCUUGUCGUUCCUGAACCUCAGGCCCUUGAACAGCCCUCCUCGGCCGCCGUCUGCCUCCGCCGCCUCCGCUUGGACAGGAUUCAUCGACGUGGAAAUGGAGAGAUGGAGCAACAACAGGAAGAGGUGAAGAUGAUAUCUCUGUUCCGCUGCCUGAUUUCUUGAGCCUGAGGAACAGAAAGCUUCAGCACUGUAAUACUGCUGCUCCUCACUGGGUGCCUGCAGGCCAUCAGUAACACCAGGGGUACCGUUCACACCAGGGGUACCAUCCACACCAGGGGUACCGUCCACAUCAAGGGUACCGUCCACAUCAGGGGUACCAUCCACAUCAGGGGUACUGUUCACAUCCGAUGGACGACGGCCUGUGAUGUUCCAUAAGUUUGGUAUUCGUAUCCGCAUAUUGCAAAAGGUGGAAAGACGUCUACAGCCGACUAACAAAGUUCUGCAGGGAACGCAGCCACGAAGGGUCGAACACAUCCUGCAAGGGUGUAGGUCGCUCAGCUGUGUCUGCAGCAGCCUGAUAAAAAGGAAACUGAGCUGAAUACUACUCAACUUUUACUUCAGAGUCUGAUCGCAGCAAGGAGGAAAGAUCAAUGGAAUCUCUCCUUCACACAGCGAGGGUGGAUCAGUCUGCUGAGGCUGCUCCAGAGCAGACAGUGAGUCCUCCAGUGGCUGAGAGUCCUUGUCCGGGAUGCAUGUGAGUUUAGCCAUGGUCCUUCUCUCACCCACCCCCUGCACCGUGUCCAUUGUGCAGUGUUUAGUGUACAGUAAUUUGAGACGUUUGAUGUUUGGUUUUGUUGACCUUCUUUCUUUAAAGCAGGAAGUAAUUGAAGAUUGAAUGAGUUGAUGGAGGAACCUUAUUCAAUGUAAAGCAACAGGGACCAUCCUCUGAGUGUAAAGCCUGUAGAGGCUGAACAAUUAUUUCAUCCAUAAAUCACCCGACCUUUGUUAUGGGUAUGUGCUGACCAGCUGUGAUGUGUUCAGUGACUAAACUUGGAUUGACAGAUGACUCAAUUCCUUACACAACUCAAAGCACGACAUUCAGAGCAAGAAUGCAGCGGUCGUGUGACGGCUAACUACUGCACAACCCCUAGAAACUCACCACUCAACCUCACGGUGACACUGCUGGAACGCGGCUCAGGCUCUUUUUUCAGGGGGGUUGGGAAUAUACAGCACUGUGUUGUUCAUGAGGCUCAUUCAUCGUCGGAACAUUUAAUAAUUCAGUGACCGAAGCUGCGAUUGCAGCCUCUUUGUACUCCGCACACUCUGCUAUUGUCCACUCUUACACAAGAUAUUCUCAAUCAAGUCAUGGAUAUGUGAUAAACACUGACUCUUAUCUCAGUUUGUUUGACAUACUCCCUCUGAUUUCAACAUUUGUGACUUUUUUUCAAGGUAUCCACAUUCACGUUUAACUGAAUAGAGGUAGUAGGAACCAGCUGGUCAAACCAACACAACCUAAAUGUUUUAACUGCAUUUUAUAAUGAUAAUAAUCCCUUUGUUUCUCAUAUAAAGUUAUAAUUUGUGUAGCAGCAUUGAUAAUCUUUAAGGCCUGUUGUAUUUUAUCCUUCAUUUAUUGUGAGGAGCAGUUCAUUUCCUGCUCUGCUGCAGGGAC
Betta splendens (Siamese fighting fish) is the source of this 1631-nucleotide long non-coding RNA. RefSeq lists it as uncharacterized. The record is from RefSeq and is a predicted model, not a curated record. Lineage: Eukaryota; Metazoa; Chordata; Actinopteri; Anabantiformes; Osphronemidae. The transcript is spliced from 5 exons.